UGGCGGCCCCACGCCUCGGCGCCGCCCCGCGCCACGGGGCCGGCGCGAGCGAGCGUGGCGCGGCCCGUCGCCGGCGCCGUGCCCCCGCGCCAAAACCCCGGGUCCCGAGGACGGCGGGCCCGGCCGGGCAGGGCUUUGUGAGGCGCGGAGGCGACGAGGACAGCGAGGGCACGAAGGGAGGACGGGGUCAAAGAGGACGGGUCUGUCGCUCACCCCGGACGCCGACGCGUUGACGAUGCCCAUAGUCUAUAGUCAUUAACGGGGCACAGGGAGGAGGCUGGAGGUUUGAGCUGUGGUCCUUUCAGUGCUGCAUAUCCCACAUGCCCGUCCUCCUCCUCGCACAUAGAGAGAGCAAGGAUGCCCCUUCCUACAAGUCCCUCCCGCUGCGCCUUUGUGACGGACGGCACCUGCACCUGGCGCAACCCUUGCUCUUCCCUCAAGCCAUCUCCCUCAAGUUACCUACACGGCUUGGAGGAGCAAGCAGCGGCCUAACGAGCCCCUAAUGCUAACGUGACACUCCACGGAAGGAAGCACAGUGACUUCAUGGCUGUUGAGAGAGCAUUUUCCUUUCAUAUAUAUAUAUAUAUAUAUUCACAGGUUAAUCUGGAAAACCUGGGUGUCCCUCCUCUACGGCUGCAAAGUGGUUGCCGUAAGACGUGCUUUACAGAGGGCAUUAGCUGGACCCUUGCUGAUGUCCUAUUUUGAACUGAAAUGUCCCUUUGCCAGCACAGCUAUAAUUUGACAGACUAAUGGACUUAUAUAGUAAAAUAUCAGGCAGAUGAAAUAUCUUCUGUGCAGACCCCUUGGGAUCCAUUGAAUCCAACAUUAACUAACACUGAUUAUUUAAAUGCUCUUUCCGGUCAUAUACACUGUAAUUUAUUGGC
This is a long non-coding RNA of Alligator mississippiensis (American alligator), 884 nucleotides long. RefSeq lists it as uncharacterized. Lineage: Eukaryota; Metazoa; Chordata; Crocodylia; Alligatoridae. The record is from RefSeq and is a predicted model, not a curated record. The transcript is spliced from 2 exons.